RNAcentral lists this long non-coding RNA (630 nucleotides) under Homo sapiens (human). RNAcentral's name for it is "non-protein coding lnc-FZD9-4:1". The record is from RNAcentral. Lineage: Eukaryota; Metazoa; Chordata; Mammalia; Primates; Hominidae.
GGGGUUUCGCCAUGUUUGCCAGGCUGGUCUCAAAUUCCUCACCUCAGGUGAUCUGCCUGCCUUGACCUCCCAAAGUGUUGGGAUUACAGGCGUGAGCCACCACGCCCAGCUCUAUAAACUUUCUAUGAUCUCAAAGCCUCCAAGAUUCUUCUCCAGACCCUAAUGGUAUUCCACCUUCACGACCCCUCAUGGCUCCUACUUCUCCACCUUCUCUGCUGCAUCAGACCAUAAGCUCCUUAAAGGCAGUGACCAUGUGUUUACCAGUUAUACUUUACAAAGAACCUACCAAGAUUAUGUUUGCAACAAAUACAGUUGUCCCUCAGUAUCCACAAAUUCAACUGGUAGUGGAUCAAAAAUACCGGAUUCAAGAGAUGCAGAACAUGGCCUACUGUGGGACUUGAGCAUCUGCAGGUUUUGGUAUCCACCAGGGUCCUGGAACCAACCCCUCCAGAUACCAAGGGACAACUGUAUUUGUAAAAUAUUUUUAUUUAUUUAUUUUUUUGAGACAUAGUGUUGCUCUGUCGCCCAGGCCAGGCUGGAGUGCAGUGGCAAGAUCUCGGCUCACUGCAACCUCCACCUCCAGGGCUCAAGCUGGGAUUACAGGUGUGUGCCACCACACCCAGCUGAUUU